UGGGGGAUCGUUCAACGGUAGGACAAACGACUCUGACUCGUUUUAUCUAGGUUCGAAUCCUAGUCCCCCAGCCA
This 74-nucleotide transfer RNA is filed under the name Rhodovastum atsumiense. RNAcentral describes it as "tRNA-Gln". It matches the Rfam family "tRNA". Rfam says of the family: Transfer RNA (tRNA) molecules are approximately 80 nucleotides in length. Their secondary structure includes four short double-helical elements and three loops (D, anti-codon, and T loops). The record is from RNAcentral. Lineage: Bacteria; Pseudomonadati; Pseudomonadota; Alphaproteobacteria; Acetobacterales; Acetobacteraceae.